This 312-nucleotide ribosomal RNA is filed under the name uncultured eukaryote. RNAcentral's name for it is "partial large subunit ribosomal RNA". It matches the Rfam family "Eukaryotic large subunit ribosomal RNA", at positions 40 to 350 of the family's 3401-position model. The record is from RNAcentral.
AUAUCAAUAAGCGGAGGAAAAGAAACUAACAAGGAUUCCCCUAGUAACGGCGAGUGAAGCGGGAAGAGCUCAAAUUUAAAAUCUGGCGUAACAGCCCGAAUUGUAAUCUAAAGAGGCGCUAUCGGACAUGUGUUUGUCGUACAAGUUCCCUGGAAUGGGACAUCACAGAGGGUGAGAAUCCCGUCUGGACGAUGAACUCGUGGCCAUAUGAGGCGUUCUCAAAGAGUCGAGUUGUUUGGGAUUGCAGCUCAAAAUGGGAGGUAAAUUUCUUCUAAGGCUAAAUAACGGCAAGAGACCGAUAGCGCACAAGUA